This 380-nucleotide long non-coding RNA is filed under the name Numida meleagris (helmeted guineafowl). RNAcentral describes it as "lncRNA (ENSNMEG00000013727.1)". Lineage: Eukaryota; Metazoa; Chordata; Aves; Galliformes; Numididae. The record is from RNAcentral.
CUCUGCUUUCCUUCCCAUCUGACGUGCUCUCCUCAAGCCUGUGUAAAAAGCAGCUCUGGAGCCCAUAAUGUGGCAGCCUGGGCCAACAUCCCCAAGAUUUGCUGUAGUGCAGUGGCGUGUCUUCUGUAGGUGCGAAGGGGAGGAGGCCAUGCACUAAGGAAAGUCAUCUGUUUUGUAAUGGACAACCACAACCCCUUCUGAAGAGUUCCAUCUCCAUCAGCCCCUCCUCAACUGAAUACAAGAAGGAAAAUUUCAGCUGGUCCUCUGGAAAAUUUUGGAAGGCAUCCCUUAAUAAAAAAUACGAGACAUGUCUUGAUCCAGUUUUUCUCAUGAUCUGUGCAGUGUCAAUUUGGUGUGCAAGUGUGAGACUGAAUCAUUAA